Long non-coding RNA from Phacochoerus africanus (Common warthog), 537 nucleotides. RefSeq lists it as uncharacterized. Lineage: Eukaryota; Metazoa; Chordata; Mammalia; Artiodactyla; Suidae. The transcript is spliced from 3 exons. The record is from RefSeq and is a predicted model, not a curated record.
UACUCUGAUGCUUUCGCCAAAGUGUUGUAUGAAAAUGCUUCAUCCUCAAGAAAACCCCUAGAAAGAAAUCUAACAAGUACAGAUUUUUGAUAAGUUUCUGAUCAAACCACUGAACUGGAAAUACCUUUUAUGGAAUAUCUGAUUGCGUGUACAAUGUAGACUUAGCUUUGAGAGCCUAAUUACAUCACUGCCUCCUGAAAUAAGACUUAACCAGAGAUAACCCUUUUUUUAAUCUGAAAGCGCUUAUCUGAAUGGCCAGAUAACAAGAUGAGACUUAACUGCUCAUACUUGCCAGGAAACCAGCCAAGGAGGACUGGGAAGCAUUCCAGCUUGGGGAGAGAGACAGCUGAUCACUCAGCUGCCUUGAGGGCAGUGGAAGGAGAGCCAUGCUACUCGCUGUUGCCUCCUGAGCAAGUUGAUGGCAGUACCUACCGAGGUCUUUGUCUUGGUUAUGUGUGGAGAUAAUUCCUUGUUUUAAAAACUUGCAUAUUUGGAAAACAGUGUGACAUCUGGCUCCUAGAUCAAACUCUGAUUCAA